This 253-nucleotide ribosomal RNA is filed under the name uncultured bacterium. RNAcentral's name for it is "partial 16S ribosomal RNA". It matches the Rfam family "Bacterial small subunit ribosomal RNA", at positions 524 to 776 of the family's 1533-position model. The record is from RNAcentral.
GACGUAGGGCGCGAGCGUUGUCCGGAUUUAUUGGGCGUAAAGAGCUCGUAGGCGGUCUGUUGCGUCGGCUGUGAAAACCCGGGGCUCAACCCCGGGCCUGCAGCCGAUACGGGCAGACUAGAGUUCGGCAGGGGAGACUGGAAUUCCUGGUGUAGCGGUGAAAUGCGCAGAUAUCAGGAGGAACACCGGUGGCGAAGGCGGGUCUCUGGGCCGAUACUGACGCUGAGGAGCGAAAGCGUGGGGAGCGAACAGG